UGUUUGCAAUCGGCUUAUCCGUAACUACCCUGAUUAUAAAAUAGUUGUGCUUGACAAGCUUGACUAUUGUUCAAACCUGAAAAAUCUCCUCCCUUCCAAGUCAUCCCCUAACUUUAAGUUUGUCAAGGGUGAUGUUGGAAGUGCAGACCUUGUCAACUUCCUCCUGAUCACGGAGUCGAUUGACACAAUUAUGCACUUUGCAGCCCAGACCCAUGUGGACAACUCUUUUGGUAACAGCUUUGAGUUCACCAAGAACAACAUAUAUGGAACUCAUGUCCUUUUAGAAGCUUGCAAAGUCACUGGUCAGAUCAGGAGGUUCAUCCAUGUGAGCACAGAUGAAGUAUAUGGGGAGACUGAUG
This 359-nucleotide long non-coding RNA is filed under the name Populus trichocarpa (black cottonwood). Its description in RNAcentral is "long non-coding RNA (PTRI_LNC000383)". Lineage: Eukaryota; Viridiplantae; Streptophyta; Magnoliopsida; Malpighiales; Salicaceae. The record is from RNAcentral.